RNAcentral lists this ribosomal RNA (262 nucleotides) under uncultured bacterium. Its description in RNAcentral is "partial 16S ribosomal RNA". It matches the Rfam family "Bacterial small subunit ribosomal RNA", at positions 30 to 305 of the family's 1533-position model. The record is from RNAcentral.
CGAACGCUGGCGGCAGGCCUAACACAUGCAAGUCGAGCGAACCUUCGGGUUAGCGGCGGACGGGUGAGUAACGCGUGGGCAACCUGCCCUGUAUAAAGGGAUAGCCACUGGAAACGGUGAUUAAUACCUUAUAAGACUACAGAAACACAUGUUUCAGUAGCCAAAGCUCCGGCGAUACAGGAUGGGCCCGCGUUUGAUUAGCUAGUUGGUGAGGUAAUGGCUCACCAAGGCGACGAUCAAUAGCCGACCUGAGAGGGUGAUC